AAUUGAAGAGUUUGAUCAUGGCUCAGAUUGAACGCUGGCGGCAGGCCUAACACAUGCAAGUCGAACGGUAACAGGAAGAAGCUUGCUUCUUUGCUGACGAGUGGCGGACGGGUGAGUAAUGUCUGGGAAACUGCCUGAUGGAGGGGGAUAACUACUGGAAACGGUAGCUAAUACCGCAUAACGUCGCAAGACCAAAGAGGGGGACCUUCGGGCCUCUUGCCAUCGGAUGUGCCCAGAUGGGAUUAGCUAGUAGGUGGGGUAACGGCUCACCUAGGCGACGAUCCCUAGCUGGUCUGAGAGGAUGACCAGCCACACUGGAACUGAGACACGGUCCAGACUCCUACGGGAGGCAGCAGUGGGGAAUAUUGCACAAUGGGCGCAAGCCUGAUGCAGCCAUGCCGCGUGUAUGAAGAAGGCCUUCGGGUUGUAAAGUACUUUCAGCGGGGAGGAAGGGAGUAAAGUUAAUACCUUUGCUCAUUGACGUUACCCGCAGAAGAAGCACCGGCUAACUCCGUGCCAGCAGCCGCGGUAAUACGGAGGGUGCAAGCGUUAAUCGGAAUUACUGGGCGUAAAGCGCACGCAGGCGGUUUGUUAAGUCAGAUGUGAAAUCCCCGGGCUCAACCUGGGAACUGCAUCUGAUACUGGCAAGCUUGAGUCUCGUAGAGGGGGGUAGAAUUCCAGGUGUAGCGGUGAAAUGCGUAGAGAUCUGGAGGAAUACCGGUGGCGAAGGCGGCCCCCUGGACGAAGACUGACGCUCAGGUGCGAAAGCGUGGGGAGCAAACAGGAUUAGAUACCCUGGUAGUCCACGCCGUAAACGAUGUCGACUUGGAGGUUGUGCCCUUGAGGCGUGGCUUCCGGAGCUAACGCGUUAAGUCGACCGCCUGGGGAGUACGGCCGCAAGGUUAAAACUCAAAUGAAUUGACGGGGGCCCGCACAAGCGGUGGAGCAUGUGGUUUAAUUCGAUGCAACGCGAAGAACCUUACCUGGUCUUGACAUCCACGGAAGUUUUCAGAGAUGAGAAUGUGCCUUCGGGAACCGUGAGACAGGUGCUGCAUGGCUGUCGUCAGCUCGUGUUGUGAAAUGUUGGGUUAAGUCCCGCAACGAGCGCAACCCUUAUCCUUUGUUGCCAGCGGUCCGGCCGGGAACUCAAAGGAGACUGCCAGUGAUAAACUGGAGGAAGGUGGGGAUGACGUCAAGUCAUCAUGGCCCUUACGACCAGGGCUACACACGUGCUACAAUGGCGCAUACAAAGAGAAGCGACCUCGCGAGAGCAAGCGGACCUCAUAAAGUGCGUCGUAGUCCGGAUUGGAGUCUGCAACUCGACUCCAUGAAGUCGGAAUCGCUAGUAAUCGUGGAUCAGAAUGCCACGGUGAAUACGUUCCCGGGCCUUGUACACACCGCCCGUCACACCAUGGGAGUGGGUUGCAAAAGAAGUAGGUAGCUUAACCAGUCAAUAAGUCUUGAGCUAACCGGUACUAAUGAACCGUGAGGCUUAACCUUGGUUAAGCGACUAAGCGUACACGGUGGAUGCCCUGGCAGUCAGAGGCGAUGAAGGACGUGCUAAUCUGCGAUAAGCGUCGGUAAGGUGAUAUGAACCGUUAUAACCGGCGAUUUCCGAAUGGGGAAACCCAGUGUGUUUCGACACACUAUCAUUAACUGAAUCCAUAGGUUAAUGAGGCGAACCGGGGGAACUGAAACAUCUAAGUACCCCGAGGAAAAGAAAUCAACCGAGAUUCCCCCAGUAGCGGCGAGCGAACGGGGAGCAGCCCAGAGCCUGAAUCAGUGUGUGUGUUAGUGGAAGCGUCUGGAAAGGCGCGCGAUACAGGGUGACAGCCCCGUACACAAAAAUGCACAUGCUGUGAGCUCGAUGAGUAGGGCGGGACACGUGGUAUCCUGUCUGAAUAUGGGGGGACCAUCCUCCAAGGCUAAAUACUCCUGACUGACCGAUAGUGAACCAGUACCGUGAGGGAAAGGCGAAAAGAACCCCGGCGAGGGGAGUGAAAAAGAACCUGAAACCGUGUACGUACAAGCAGUGGGAGCACGCUUAGGCGUGUGACUGCGUACCUUUUGUAUAAUGGGUCAGCGACUUAUAUUCUGUAGCAAGGUUAACCGAAUAGGGGAGCCGAAGGGAAACCGAGUCUUAACUGGGCGUUAAGUUGCAGGGUAUAGACCCGAAACCCGGUGAUCUAGCCAUGGGCAGGUUGAAGGUUGGGUAACACUAACUGGAGGACCGAACCGACUAAUGUUGAAAAAUUAGCGGAUGACUUGUGGCUGGGGGUGAAAGGCCAAUCAAACCGGGAGAUAGCUGGUUCUCCCCGAAAGCUAUUUAGGUAGCGCCUCGUGAAUUCAUCUCCGGGGGUAGAGCACUGUUUCGGCAAGGGGGUCACUUACCAACCCGAUGCAAACUGCGAAUACCGGAGAAUGUUAUCACGGGAGACACACGGCGGGUGCUAACGUCCGUCGUGAAGAGGGAAACAACCCAGACCGCCAGCUAAGGUCCCAAAGUCAUGGUUAAGUGGGAAACGAUGUGGGAAGGCCCAGACAGCCAGGAUGUUGGCUUAGAAGCAGCCAUCAUUUAAAGAAAGCGUAAUAGCUCACUGGUCGAGUCGGCCUGCGCGGAAGAUGUAACGGGGCUAAACCAUGCACCGAAGCUGCGGCAGCGACGCUUAUGCGUUGUUGGGUAGGGGAGCGUUCUGUAAGCCUGCGAAGGUGUGCUGUGAGGCAUGCUGGAGGUAUCAGAAGUGCGAAUGCUGACAUAAGUAACGAUAAAGCGGGUGAAAAGCCCGCUCGCCGGAAGACCAAGGGUUCCUGUCCAACGUUAAUCGGGGCAGGGUGAGUCGACCCCUAAGGCGAGGCCGAAAGGCGUAGUCGAUGGGAAACAGGUUAAUAUUCCUGUACUUGGUGUUACUGCGAAGGGGGGACGGAGAAGGCUAUGUUGGCCGGGCGACGGUUGUCCCGGUUUAAGCGUGUAGGCUGGUUUUCCAGGCAAAUCCGGAAAAUCAAGGCUGAGGCGUGAUGACGAGGCACUACGGUGCUGAAGCAACAAAUGCCCUGCUUCCAGGAAAAGCCUCUAAGCAUCAGGUAACAUCAAAUCGUACCCCAAACCGACACAGGUGGUCAGGUAGAGAAUACCAAGGCGCUUGAGAGAACUCGGGUGAAGGAACUAGGCAAAAUGGUGCCGUAACUUCGGGAGAAGGCACGCUGAUAUGUAGGUGAGGUCCCUCGCGGAUGGAGCUGAAAUCAGUCGAAGAUACCAGCUGGCUGCAACUGUUUAUUAAAAACACAGCACUGUGCAAACACGAAAGUGGACGUAUACGGUGUGACGCCUGCCCGGUGCCGGAAGGUUAAUUGAUGGGGUUAGCGCAAGCGAAGCUCUUGAUCGAAGCCCCGGUAAACGGCGGCCGUAACUAUAACGGUCCUAAGGUAGCGAAAUUCCUUGUCGGGUAAGUUCCGACCUGCACGAAUGGCGUAAUGAUGGCCAGGCUGUCUCCACCCGAGACUCAGUGAAAUUGAACUCGCUGUGAAGAUGCAGUGUACCCGCGGCAAGACGGAAAGACCCCGUGAACCUUUACUAUAGCUUGACACUGAACAUUGAGCCUUGAUGUGUAGGAUAGGUGGGAGGCUUUGAAGUGUGGACGCCAGUCUGCAUGGAGCCGACCUUGAAAUACCACCCUUUAAUGUUUGAUGUUCUAACGUUGACCCGUAAUCCGGGUUGCGGACAGUGUCUGGUGGGUAGUUUGACUGGGGCGGUCUCCUCCUAAAGAGUAACGGAGGAGCACGAAGGUUGGCUAAUCCUGGUCGGACAUCAGGAGGUUAGUGCAAUGGCAUAAGCCAGCUUGACUGCGAGCGUGACGGCGCGAGCAGGUGCGAAAGCAGGUCAUAGUGAUCCGGUGGUUCUGAAUGGAAGGGCCAUCGCUCAACGGAUAAAAGGUACUCCGGGGAUAACAGGCUGAUACCGCCCAAGAGUUCAUAUCGACGGCGGUGUUUGGCACCUCGAUGUCGGCUCAUCACAUCCUGGGGCUGAAGUAGGUCCCAAGGGUAUGGCUGUUCGCCAUUUAAAGUGGUACGCGAGCUGGGUUUAGAACGUCGUGAGACAGUUCGGUCCCUAUCUGCCGUGGGCGCUGGAGAACUGAGGGGGGCUGCUCCUAGUACGAGAGGACCGGAGUGGACGCAUCACUGGUGUUCGGGUUGUCAUGCCAAUGGCACUGCCCGGUAGCUAAAUGCGGAAGAGAUAAGUGCUGAAAGCAUCUAAGCACGAAACUUGCCCCGAGAUGAGUUCUCCCUGACCCUUUAAGGGUCCUGAAGGAACGUUGAAGACGACGACGUUGAUAGGCCGGGUGUGUAAGGACGACCUUCGGGAGGGCGCUUACCACUUUGUGAUUCAUGACUGGGGUGAAGUCGUAACAAGGUAACCGUAGGGGAACCUGCGGUUGGAUCA
Molecule: unclassified non-coding RNA, 4438 nt
Filed under: Escherichia coli
Lineage: Bacteria; Pseudomonadati; Pseudomonadota; Gammaproteobacteria; Enterobacterales; Enterobacteriaceae
Description: Tethered rRNA from Escherichia coli (PDB 7UPH, chain I)
Rfam family: Bacterial large subunit ribosomal RNA (bases 1501-4391)
Source: RNAcentral